This 520-nucleotide ribosomal RNA is filed under the name uncultured Glomeromycotina. RNAcentral's name for it is "SSU rRNA". It matches the Rfam family "Eukaryotic small subunit ribosomal RNA", at positions 569 to 1090 of the family's 1831-position model. The record is from RNAcentral. Lineage: Eukaryota; Fungi; Glomeromycota.
AGCAGCCGCGGUAAUUCCAGCUCCAAUAGCGUAUAUUAAAGUUGUUGCAGUUAAAAAGCUCGUAGUUGAAUUUCGGGGUCAGUAGGUUGGUCGUGCCACUGGUAUGUACUGGCUUCACUGAUUCCUCCUUCUUGUAGAACCGUAAUGCCAUUAAUUUGGUGUUGCGGGGAAACAGGACUGUUACUUUGAAAAAUUAGGGUGUUUAAAGCAGGCUAACGCUUGAAUACAUUAGCAUGGAAUAAUGAAAUAGGACGUUCGAUCCUAUUUUGUUGGUUUCUAGGAUUGACGUAAUGAUUAAUAGGGAUAGUUGGGGGCAUUAGUAUUCAAUUGUCAGAGGUGAAAUUCUUGGAUUUAUUGAAGACUAACUACUGCGAAAGCAUUUGCCAAGGAUGUUUUCAUUAAUCAAGAACGAAAGUUAGGGGAUCGAAGACGAUCAGAUACCGUCGUAGUCUUAACCAUAAACUAUGCCGACUAGGGAUCGGAUGAUGUUAAUUUUUUAAUGUACUCAUUCGGCGCCUUA